RNAcentral lists this ribosomal RNA (180 nucleotides) under uncultured Glomeromycotina. Its description in RNAcentral is "partial small subunit ribosomal RNA". The record is from RNAcentral. Lineage: Eukaryota; Fungi; Glomeromycota.
GGAUCAGUAUGUUGGUCAUGCCUUGGUAUGUACUGGUGUCACUGAUUCCUCCCUUCUGACGAACCUUCAUGCCAUUCACUUGGUGUGAUGGGAAAUCAGGACUGUUACUUUGAAAAAAUUAGAGUGUUUAAAACAGGCGUUUGCUUGAAUACAUUAGCAUGGAAUAACGGAAUAGGACUU